CAGUCGCCGCGGUAAUACGUAGGGUGCGAGCGUUACUCGGAAUUACUGGGCGUAAAGGGCUCGCAGGCGGUUUCUUAAGUCUGAUGUGAAAGCCCCCGGCUCAACCGGGGAGGGUCAUUAGAAACUGGGAAACUUGAGUGCAGAAGAGGAGAGUGGAAUUCCACGUGUAGCGGUGAAAUGCGUGGAGAUGUGGAGGAACACCAGUGGCGAAGGCGACUCUCUGGUCUGUAACUGACGCUGAGGAGCGAAAGCGUGGGGAGCGAACAGGAUUAGAUACCCCUGUAGUCCCUGUCUCUUAUAC
This 301-nucleotide ribosomal RNA is filed under the name uncultured bacterium. RNAcentral's name for it is "partial 16S ribosomal RNA". It matches the Rfam family "Bacterial small subunit ribosomal RNA", at positions 509 to 807 of the family's 1533-position model. The record is from RNAcentral.